Non-coding RNA from Peromyscus maniculatus bairdii (prairie deer mouse), 624 nucleotides. The record is from RefSeq and is a predicted model, not a curated record. Lineage: Eukaryota; Metazoa; Chordata; Mammalia; Rodentia; Cricetidae.
CCUGACUGAGCUGAGCCCAUUGUCUUGGAAAGUACUCCCACAUGCCAGAUGUGGCAGCUCAUGUCCAGUGUCUGCAUGAAGAGUGUCCUCGGGAUUCCCUCCACGGCUUGAUCUGGUGCCUUGUCUCUGGCUGCUGGGCUGCAGUCUGGCCUGUCACUCUUCCCAGAGGGUAUCCUGAGGACUCAGUGGUGCCCACUGGAAGGCAAGAAGGCAGUUCUGGCAGAAAUAAACGUGCAUAUGUCUGGCAGGGUUUGCAGAGCACUUAACCCCUGCCUAGGUUCCUCCAGCUGUCAAGUCGGGAUAAUAGUAAUUGCCACCUUCCAUGUGAUAUGAGCAUGAGCUUUGACAUCUCUGGCUGAAGAUGCCACAGCAACACAAAUUAUUAUUAUUAGAACAUAAUGCAUGUAUUCACAUAAAACACCAGCACAAUGCUCUUUUUACUCAUUAUAUCACGUCUAUAAGUACUGUUCUUCCACAUUCUUGCUUCAUUUUAGGUGAGAGAAUAUGAUCACAGCAAGCCACUGUUCACUGUCUCCAUAUAUGGAGGAAAUAGUUUAGAAGUUCCAGAUCAUCCUUUUGAGAUAUCCUCAACCUGUUAAUUUCUUAUGGUCUUUGCAGCAAAUU